This 71-nucleotide transfer RNA is filed under the name Curtobacterium luteum. RNAcentral describes it as "tRNA-Trp". Lineage: Bacteria; Bacillati; Actinomycetota; Actinomycetes; Micrococcales; Microbacteriaceae. The record is from RNAcentral.
GUGCUCGUCGGCGAGGAACCACCGGACGUUCCAGUCGUCGGGCACGACGUUCGCCUCGUCCGGGUGCACCA